AUGGAACCCCACUGAGCUGGUGGGUUGGAAGAACCAAUGAAACACACACUUACUGGGGAGGUUCUCUGCCUGAUGCUCAAAAGUGUACUUGUGGAUUAGAGGGGAACUGCAUUGAUUCUCAGUAUUACUGCAACUGUGAUGCUGGCCGGAAUGAAUGGACUAGUGACACAAUAGUCCUUUCCCAAAAGGAGCACCUGCCAGUCACUCAGAUUGUGAUGAUGGACGCAGGCCGACCACAUUCCGAAGCAGCUUAUACUCUGGGGCCACUGCUCUGCCGCGGAGACAAGUCAUUUUGGAAUUCAGCUUCCUUCAACACUGAGACUUCAUACCUUCAUUUCCCUGCUUUCCAUGGAGAACUCACUGCUGACGUGUGUUUCUUUUUUAAGACCACAGUUUCCUCUGGGGUGUUUAUGGAGAACCUGGGGAUCACAGACUUCAUCAGGAUUGAGCUGCGGGCUCCCACAGAAGUGACCUUUUCCUUUGAUGUGGGGAAUGGACCUUGUGAGGUCACGGUGCAGUCACCCACUCCCUUUAAUGACAAUCAGUGGCACCACGUGAGGGCAGAGAGAAAUGUUAAAGGAGCGUCUCUUCAAGUUGAUCAGCUUCCUCAGAAGAUGCAGCCUGCCCCUGCUGAUGGGCACGUUCGUUUACAGCUCAACAGCCAGCUCUUCAUUGGUGGAACGGCCACCAGACAGAGAGGCUUUCUAGGAUGCAUUCGGUCUCUGCAGUUGAACGGGGUGGCCCUGGAUCUGGAAGAAAGAGCCACAGUGACGCCAGGAGUGGAGCCAGGGUGUGCAGGACACUGCAGCACCUAUGGACACUUGUGUCGCAAUGGAGGGAGAUGCAGAGAGAAACGCAGAGGGGUCACCUGUGACUGUGCCUUCUCAGCCUAUGAUGGGCCGUUCUGCUCCAAUGAGAUUUCUGCAUAUUUUGCAACUGGCUCCUCAAUGACGUACCAUUUUCAAGAACAUUACACUUUAAGUGAAAACUCCAGCUCUCUCGUUUCUUCGUUACACAGAGAUGUAACAUUGACCAGAGAAAUGAUCACACUGAGCUUCCGAACCACACGAACUCCGAGCUUAUUGCUGUAUGUGAGCUCUUUCUAUGAGGAAUACCUUUCAGUUAUCCUCGCCAACAAUGGAAGUUUGCAGAUUAGGUACAAGCUAGAUAGACAUCAAAAUCCUGAUGCAUUUACCUUUGAUUUUAAAAACAUGGCUGAUGGGCAACUUCACCGAGUGAAGAUUAACAGAGAAGAAGCCGUGGUCAUGGCAGAGGUAAUCCCACAAAUGCAAAAGUCAAACUAAUAUUAUUAUUUUGAGAACAAAUAAUCUAAUGAAAAAAUUUGAUAAUAAAUAUUAGUGGAAGAGCAACCCAUUCAAUGCUGCUCUUCCAUAAGUCAAGAAGAAGCCAAAUAUGGCCGGGAUCUGGGGGAGAGGAGGUGGUUGUUUAUUCUGUAUUGCUUUGUUUUGUUUGUUUAGCAAUGCAAUUCUGUCAAAGUUAUUAUUAAUAUUUUACUAUUUAAAAUAUCAAAAUAUCUUCAUUUGUUUCACUUUACUCAGUAGGGGAAUGUUCUCUAGUUUCUCAUAGUGACUACUGGUGGAAUCUAUUCAUUGAUAUUGCAGUGGGAACUUGUCUUAUUCUGAUUAUAAAAGAACAAAUACUUUAGCAACUUAAAAACAUGGUUUAAAAGCACACAACAUAGUUAUUAAAAUGGGAAUAAGUAAAAAAAUAGACCUGAGUGACAACAGAGGAAGUAAAUUCCACAUUGCCAUUGGCAUUGGAAGGAAAAUAUACUGUAUAGAGAACAACAAUGCUUGGUUUUAUGUUUCAGAUUUUCUCCGCAGAAUGAGUACGUAUUUAAGUUUAAAACAGCCAAUUCCAUCUUUUUCAUGGAUUCUGCCAAUUAUAGAUCCUUCCAUUAUGAAGAAGAGUAAAGCCAGCAAGUGGGUACAUCGUGGAUAGAGUGGUAGCUGAUGGCAUCAUAGGAAUUGCUUAUAAAAUAGCUUCCCCUUCUGAAUGAUUAAUUAUUUGAAGGUGGCUUCUUGAGCUUUUGUAGUGGUACUUAAAAGUGAUUUAUUUUCAUCUUUCCUUUCCUCAUCUUCCUUUGCUUCCUUAUCAUUAAAAUUGUACUUUCUGUUGAUGUUUGCUUCUCAUGGGACAUCUAAUAGGUUAACCAGAGCGCAAAGAAACAAGUAAUCUUGUCCUCAGGGACAGAAUUCAACGCCCUCAAAUCUCUCAUAUUGGGAAAGGUUUUAGGUAAGUAGAAGAAAGAGCUUUUUCCCAAAAAAUCUAAGUGUCAUGUCACAAACUCUGGAAGCAUUCAUCAUGCUGAAAGAAGCUCCUUGUCUUACUUGAAUAAUAAUUUCACAGUGAGUGACAAUCAAGGUGCAAACUGUACUCUUGCCUGAGUGUACAUAUAAUCAUGAGUAAGUGCUGCCUGUGAGAUAUGCAAGGGCGUUCCUGGAAAAAUACCUCCACACUUAACCUCUCACUUGGCAAUCAUGCAUAAUGAAUCACGGUAUUUUUCUAACCCUUCUUGAAAAGUGAAAUGUUAUCAAAGCUGACACAAAGUUCACAGAUUAUGUAUGUAUUAAUCAACAUCAACUCCGGAGACCAUCAUUCAAUGAUAAAACUACGUUUGAGUUGAACACAAGAGAAAAAACUGUUAAUCUUAUUACAGCAGAUGAAUACAGUUUUAAUUCUCUCUCAAGCCCUGCUUUACCUGUUGUUUCCAUCCUUUUUGACUUUAGUAUCUAACAGGAAUGGGGAGGCAUAUUCAUAAAUAUCUAUUACGCAAGGUAGAAAGUUACAGUAAUUGUCUAUCAUAUUGUCUAUCAUAACCUGUUGUAAAAUCACAGUUAGCUUUACAUUUAAUAAAGGAACUGAGGAAAAUAAUCUUUUUUUUUUUAAAAAACUCAUGUAACUCAAGAAAAUGAACUAUACUUUAAUAUUGAGGAUCAAAAAGUAGAAUAAUAUUUAUUAUAUACAUCUUUGUUUCCUUCCAAAUAAAGGAGAACAUGU
This 3021-nucleotide small RNA is filed under the name Pongo abelii (Sumatran orangutan). RNAcentral's name for it is "retained intron". The record is from RNAcentral. Lineage: Eukaryota; Metazoa; Chordata; Mammalia; Primates; Hominidae.